GACGAACGCUGGCGGCGUGCUUAACACAUGCAAGUCGAACGCUGAAGCACCAGCUUGCUGGUGUGGAUGAGUGGCGAACGGGUGAGUAAUACGUGAGUAACCUGCCCUUGACUCUGGGAUAAGCCCGGGAAACUGGGUCUAAUACUGGAUGCUACAUGUCACCGCAUGGUGGUGUGUGGAAAGGGUUUACUGGUCUUGGAUGGGCUCACGGCCUAUCAGCUUGUUGGUGAGGUAAUGGCUCACCAAGGCGACGACGGGUAGCCGGCCUGAGAGGGUGACCGGCCACACUGGGACUGAGACACGGCCCAGACUCCUACGGGAGGCAGCAGUGGGGAAUAUUGCACAAUGGGCGAAAGCCUGAUGCAGCGGCGCCGCGUGAGGGAUGACGGCCUUCGGGUUGUAAACCCCUUUCAGCAGGGAAGAAGCCACAAGUGACGGUACCUGCAGAAGAAGCGCCGGCUAACUACGUG
Molecule: ribosomal RNA, 470 nt
Filed under: uncultured bacterium
Lineage: Bacteria
Description: partial 16S ribosomal RNA
Rfam family: Bacterial small subunit ribosomal RNA
Source: RNAcentral